This 898-nucleotide ribosomal RNA is filed under the name Priestia flexa. RNAcentral's name for it is "bacterial SSU rRNA". It matches the Rfam family "Bacterial small subunit ribosomal RNA", at positions 55 to 934 of the family's 1533-position model. Lineage: Bacteria; Bacillati; Bacillota; Bacilli; Caryophanales; Bacillaceae. The record is from RNAcentral.
AUGCAGUCGAGCGAACUGAUUAGAAGCUUGCUUCUAUGACGUUAGCGGCGGACGGGUGAGUAACACGUGGGCAACCUGCCUGUAAGACUGGGAUAACUCCGGGAAACCGGAGCUAAUACCGGAUAACAUUUUCUCUUGCAUAAGAGAAAAUUGAAAGAUGGUUUCGGCUAUCACUUACAGAUGGGCCCGCGGUGCAUUAGCUAGUUGGUGAGGUAACGGCUCACCAAGGCAACGAUGCAUAGCCGACCUGAGAGGGUGAUCGGCCACACUGGGACUGAGACACGGCCCAAACUCCUACGGGAGGCAGCAGUAGGGAAUCUUCCGCAAUGGACGAAAGUCUGACGGAGCAACGCCGCGUGAGUGAUGAAGGCUUUCGGGUCGUAAAACUCUGUUGUUAGGGAAGAACAAGUACAAGAGUAACUGCUUGUACCUUGACGGUACCUAACCAGAAAGCCACGGCUAACUACGUGCCAGCAGCCGCGGUAAUACGUAGGUGGCAAGCGUUAUCCGGAAUUAUUGGGCGUAAAGCGCGCGCAGGCGGUUUCUUAAGUCUGAUGUGAAAGCCCACGGCUCAACCGUGGAGGGUCAUUGGAAACUGGGGAACUUGAGUGCAGAAGAGAAAAGCGGAAUUCCACGUGUAGCGGUGAAAUGCGUAGAGAUGUGGAGGAACACCAGUGGCGAAGGCGGCUUUUUGGUCUGUAACUGACGCUGAGGCGCGAAAGCGUGGGGAGCAAACAGGAUUAGAUACCCUGGUAGUCCACGCCGUAAACGAUGAGUGCUAAGUGUUAGAGGGUUUCCGCCCUUUAGUGCUGCAGCUAACGCAUUAAGCACUCCGCCUGGGGAGUACGGUCGCAAGACUGAAACUCAAAGGAAUUGACGGGGGCCCGCACAAGCGGUG